GUAAUGGAAGAAAUAGCCAUCAACAUUCGUCACAUUCACUUUGAAGUGGUUAGUAACAAGAGAAAUCUUCUGGCCUUUGGAUCCUAGACCACGCCUAGCUAUCGGAACCCUAACAGCCUUCUUCUUCACCAGUUCAGGCUCUGCUCGAAGAGGAACAACAUCCGGCGGAACAACCGGUGGAGGAGGCAAGUCGUUCUGCGACCCAUUUUUAUCUGGCUCAAACGACUCCAUUACUUCUUAGAAUUCAAAGUAGGCUAAGUCAGUCAGAGACAGCGGCUACAGUGGUGGAAAGGCAGUGGCCGGCGAGAACUUGGUUGACCGUAAUCUCUCUCUCAAGCGGCUACCGAGGUGUUUUUUUUUUUUUUGGCAAAGCUACUUAAGAGAUUACAAA
This 391-nucleotide unclassified non-coding RNA is filed under the name Hevea brasiliensis (rubber tree). Lineage: Eukaryota; Viridiplantae; Streptophyta; Magnoliopsida; Malpighiales; Euphorbiaceae. The record is from RNAcentral.